GACGAACGCUGGCGGCGUGCUUAACACAUGCAUGUCGAACGGUGAAGCGCCUUCCUUUUUGGUGGGUGUGGAUGAGUGGCGAACGGGUGAGUAACACGUGAGUAACCUGCCCCCUUCUUCUGGAUAACCGCAUGAAAGUGUGGCUAAUACGGGAUAUUCUGGGUCUGUCGCAUGAUGGGUCUGGGAAAGAUAUUGUUUCGGUGGGGGAUGGGCUCGCGGCCUAUCAGCUUGUUGGUGGGGUGAUGGCCUACCAAGGCGGUGACGGGUAGCCGGCCUGAGAGGGUGGACGGUCACACUGGGACUGAGACACGGCCCAGACUCCUACGGGAGGCAGCAGUGGGGAAUAUUGCACAAUGGGCGCAAGCCUGAUGCAGCGACGCCGCGUGAGGGAUGGAGGCCUUCGGGUUGUGAACCUCUUUCGCCAGUGAAGCAGGCCUGCCUCGUUUGUGGGUGGGUUGACGGUAGCUGGAUAAGAAGCGCCGGCUAACUACGUG
RNAcentral lists this ribosomal RNA (494 nucleotides) under uncultured bacterium. RNAcentral describes it as "partial 16S ribosomal RNA". It matches the Rfam family "Bacterial small subunit ribosomal RNA", at positions 28 to 507 of the family's 1533-position model. The record is from RNAcentral.